AACCACUAAAAAAAGUGUCUUUUGGUUCUAGUAAGAUGUUUGCACGUCUUCGCUGAAAUAGAGAAAGAGAUAGGGUACAUAAGACAACAGCGAUCUACGACGAGGUUUUCAAGGCAAGUUUGCGCGACUUUUGAGAUAGGGACAUUUUAAGAAGAACAGCAGAAAGCUAUAGAUAUGUUUUUCGAAGCCAAGAAACAAGGCUUUUUCGUAGGAUUAUGAGACCUACAGAAUGUCUGUGCCUCAGCUUUUGGCAGGAGAGGAGAUUUGGCGGAGCUCAAUGGGAAUGAAGCAACUCGAAGAAGACCAAGGUUAGCUGUGCG
This is a long non-coding RNA of Pocillopora damicornis (cauliflower coral), 320 nucleotides long. RefSeq lists it as uncharacterized. The record is from RefSeq and is a predicted model, not a curated record. NCBI's taxonomy places the organism in Eukaryota, Metazoa, Cnidaria, Anthozoa, Scleractinia, Pocilloporidae.